This 456-nucleotide ribosomal RNA is filed under the name Panorpa acutipensis. RNAcentral describes it as "partial 28S ribosomal RNA". Lineage: Eukaryota; Metazoa; Arthropoda; Insecta; Mecoptera; Panorpidae. The record is from RNAcentral.
AAACCUGAGAAACCCGAAAGUUCGAAUGAGAUGAUUCAAUAUCUUACAUUUGGUCGAACAUAGUAUUUUAUGUGAUAAUUUUUUAAUGGUCUCACGGUCAUUAAUAUUACACUAAUUUGCUUAUGAUAAUUUGGCUAUGGAGGUAUGCACUUCUUCUCUAGUAGGACGUUGCAACUCAUUGGAUGUUAAUCUAAGGACCCAUAGGCUAGCCUAUUUUAUAUAUAUUUCGGUAUAUGUGAUUUAGACCUUGGUGCUUUCCUGAUUAACUUGUUCGAUGGUAUAUCAUAAUAUUGGGCCGCCUAUAUGGCAUUCAAACUAAUAACAAGUGUGUACGGAUAAAAUUUUGGCUAACAGACCUAGUGCUGUUACCGAAACCGUUAUACUGCUCGAAUUUAGUAUAUUGAAUAGACCUUUUAUAUUGGUUAGCAACGCUUUAGCUUUGGGUACUUUCAGGAC